This 110-nucleotide microRNA precursor is filed under the name Gossypium raimondii (Peruvian cotton). RNAcentral describes it as "miR8740 stem-loop (gra-MIR8740)". Lineage: Eukaryota; Viridiplantae; Streptophyta; Magnoliopsida; Malvales; Malvaceae. The record is from miRBase by way of RNAcentral.
AUGUGACAUUCUAAUAUUGUACCACAUCAUUUCUUGAAAAUUUAUAUCAUAAAAAUUUAUAUAAUUUUUAAUUUUUAAGUAAUGAUGUGGCACAAUAUUAAAAUGUCGCA